GCAGCUCUCUGUGCCAAUAUGCCACCAGAAAGAAUGUUGACGUUUGCUUCUAAAGUGGCCGGUAUUGGGUGCAGGGCAUUGGGAGCAAGAGCUGGUCUUCCCCAUCUAACAAACUCUCGCUUGAGACCCUUUUUAGCGAACGAUCCCCAAAACGUGGCCACAUUGCUAUAGAGAAAACACAAGUAAAAUUUAUUGUCAGCUUGGGAUGUUUCUUUUAAUCUUUUCCUUGUCUAUAUUCUGCUUCAUUUGCAACAUUUUAUGUGAGUCUUUGACCAUUGAGCACAAGGCCUUCAAACCUUAUACAAAAACUUGAAUCGUAAUAACCUGUUGGCUGUUGCCAUUAUUUAUUUUAUUUCUUAUUUCUUACAAUUAGAUCCUUGAUUAUUUCUUU
Lycium ferocissimum is the source of this 391-nucleotide long non-coding RNA. RefSeq lists it as uncharacterized. The record is from RefSeq and is a predicted model, not a curated record. NCBI's taxonomy places the organism in Eukaryota, Viridiplantae, Streptophyta, Magnoliopsida, Solanales, Solanaceae. The transcript is spliced from 2 exons.